GAUGAACGCUGGCGGCGUGCCUAAUACAUGCAAGUCGAGCGAACAGAUGAGGAGCUUGCUCCUCUGACGUUAGCGGCGGAAGGGUGAGUAACACGUGGAUAACCUACCUAUAAGACUGGGAUAACUUCGGGAAACCGGAGCUAAUACCGGAUAAUAUAUUGAACCGCAUGGUUCAAUAGUGAAAGACGGUUUUGCUGUCACUUAUAGAUGGAUCCGCGCCGCAUUAGCUAGUUGGUAAGGUAACGGCUUACCAAGGCAACGAUGCGUAGCCGACCUGAGAGGGUGAUCGGCCACACUGGAACUGAGACACGGUCCAGACUCCUACGGGAGGCAGCAGUAGGGAAUCUGCCGCAAUGGGCGAAAGCCUGACGGAGCAACGCCGCGUGAGUGAUGAAGGUCUUCGGAUCGUAAAACUCUGUUAUUAGGGAAGAACAAAUGUGUAAGUAACUAUGCACGUCUUGACGGUACCUAAUCAGAAAGCCACGGCUAACUACGUG
RNAcentral lists this ribosomal RNA (497 nucleotides) under uncultured bacterium. Its description in RNAcentral is "partial 16S ribosomal RNA". It matches the Rfam family "Bacterial small subunit ribosomal RNA", at positions 28 to 507 of the family's 1533-position model. The record is from RNAcentral.